This 428-nucleotide long non-coding RNA is filed under the name Phoenix dactylifera (date palm). RNAcentral describes it as "long non-coding RNA (PDAC_LNC013944)". Lineage: Eukaryota; Viridiplantae; Streptophyta; Magnoliopsida; Arecales; Arecaceae. The record is from RNAcentral.
AUCUUCUUUUAGCUUGAUAUUUUCAGCAAUUAGAUUCUUGGUUUCAUUUGUGAACCUCCUACUUAAUGUUUCAUAGUUGUUAGAUAGUUUCAGCUUAUCUUUGAUAAGAGAUUGAUUUUCAUCUUUUAGAACUUUAUUUUUAUGAAUUAGCUUCUUGUGUUCUUCCAUCAGUUCUAAAAAUGCAUCAUGUAACUCUUCUACCGAAAAAUCACAUUCAAGUUUCGAAUCUACCUCAUCGUCAUUGGCCAUGUAGCAGAUUUGAGCCGUCCCUUGUUGAUCUUCCUCUUCUGAACUUGACUCUUCGCUUUCACUCUAUUCAGCCAUGAGGUUCCUCUUUUUAAGUUUUCUUGCCAUCCAUUUCAAUUCCAGGCAAUCUAUCUUGAAGUGCCCGGGCUUGUUACACUCAUAGCAUAUUGGCACUUCUUUUU